This 120-nucleotide ribosomal RNA is filed under the name uncultured bacterium. RNAcentral describes it as "partial 16S ribosomal RNA". It matches the Rfam family "Bacterial small subunit ribosomal RNA", at positions 796 to 913 of the family's 1533-position model. The record is from RNAcentral.
CACGCUGUAAACGGUGGGUACUAGGUGUGGGAUCCUUUCCGUGGGUUCUGUGCCGUAGCUAACGCAUUAAGUACCCCGCCUGGGGAGUACGGCCGCAAGGCUAAAACUCAAAGGAAUUGA